UUUGGAGCUUCAACUAUGGAU
Molecule: non-coding RNA, 21 nt
Organism: Caenorhabditis elegans
Lineage: Eukaryota; Metazoa; Nematoda; Chromadorea; Rhabditida; Rhabditidae
Source: Ensembl